Molecule: long non-coding RNA, 1136 nt
Filed under: Phasianus colchicus (ring-necked pheasant)
Lineage: Eukaryota; Metazoa; Chordata; Aves; Galliformes; Phasianidae
Description: lncRNA (ENSPCLG00000017128.1)
Source: RNAcentral
ACCACCCUACAGGUGCCCUAACCGCCCUACACGUGCCCUAACCGCCCUAUAGGUGCCCUAACCACCCUCCAGAUGCCCUAACCGCCCUAUAGGUGCCCUAACCACCCUACAGACGCCCUCCAGGUGCCCUAACCACCCUACAGACGCCCUCCAGGUGCCCUACCCUCCCUCCAUCCACCCACCCCCUCCCCCCCGCGCGGUACCUGCUGGGUAUCUCUCGUGCACGGGGCCGCCGUCCACCUGGAGGGUGGCGUUGCCUCCGCUGCGGGUGAAGCGGACGACGUGGAAGCGGCCGUCGCUGACGGCGGCGCCGCGCUCCUCCAGCGCGAUGUCCUCGGUGCCCACGUUGAACAGCACGCCCAGCGCGCCCUGCGCCUGCGGGGACACCGCUCACACACGGCCCCCACGCCGAGCCUCGGCCCGACACACGGACGGGACGGACGCGACGGACGCGACGGAGCCAAAGUCCCCAACCCCACGGGCCAACCCCGUGCCCCAGGGUCGUCCCAAAGGUCCCAACCACGCAGAUCCAACCGAUGAUCCCAAUGAUGCCAACCGAUGACCCCAACCGAUGAUCCCAACCCCGUAGAACCAACCAAUGUCCCCGACCGAUGACCCCAAUCCUGCACACCCAACCAAUGACCCCAAUGACGCCAACCGAUGAUCCCAACCGAUGACCCCAACACUGUAGACCCAACCAAUGUCCCCAACCGAUGACCCCAAUGACCCCAACCCUGCACACCCAACCAAUGACCCCAAUGACCCCAACCGAUGACCCCAACCGAUGACCCCAACCGAUGAUCCCAGCCCCGUAGAACCAACCAAUGUCCCCGACCGAUGACCCCAAUGACCCCAACCCUGCACACCCAACCAAUGACCCCAAUGACCCCAACCCUGCACACCCAACCAAUGACCCCAAUGACCCCAACUGAUGACCCCAAUGUCCCCAACCGAUGACCCCAACCGAUGAUCCCAACCCCGUAGACCCAACCAAAGACCCCAAUGUCCCCAACCAAUGAUCCCAACCAAUGACCCCAAUGUGCCCAACUGAUGACCCCAAUGUGCCCAACCAAUGACCCCAAACCUGCACACCCAACCAAUGACCUCAAUGUCCCCAACCGAUGACCCCAACCGAU